GGGGGUCAGCGCGGGAAAUCGGGGAAGUUUGCUGACCCCUCUUCUAAUGUAUGAAGUGCAAUGCUCGUUGGAGGCUGAGGAAUUUUCCUACCAUUCUGAGCUUCCUGAAGGUCUGGUGGGUGUGCUUCAAACUCAGUACACCUGUCACCUUGAACACACGACAGGCAUCACCUCCUUAUGAUGUGCCACUCAUAUUUCGCUCCCCGUGGAACAAGUGCUGGUGUGGUGGGGACCGUGUCUGCCUCGCUCCUGACGCCUCCCCAGGGCCAGGUCAGAGGCCAGAGGCCCGCAGCAGAGGGCUCUGCAAACCCUCACGAGUGAGUGAACGCCAUGGUGCCAUCUUUGAUGCGACUGCAAACACUGACUUCCCUCACCUGACUGGCCUGGCUGACCCACAGGGUCUGGGGAUUCUGGCAGCCCCUCCUCCUGCGUGACUCGCCCUCCUGCCCUGGGCCUUCCCUGUCA
Myotis lucifugus (little brown bat) is the source of this 465-nucleotide long non-coding RNA. RefSeq lists it as uncharacterized. Lineage: Eukaryota; Metazoa; Chordata; Mammalia; Chiroptera; Vespertilionidae. The transcript is spliced from 3 exons. The record is from RefSeq and is a predicted model, not a curated record.